CAGAAAACAAUUUUGAAAAAAAUCAAGCUAAAUAUAUUCGUUUAAAGUUUGUGCUAAAGUUCAAAGGCUACAAUACACAUUACAAAUUACUCGUAAGGUAAAAUUCAACUGACGAAUUAAUAUUGUCUAAUCUAAGGAUUAAACCCUGAUGAGCUUCAGUUUAGAAAAUUUUUUGUUUAAAUUGCAAGCCCUAGUUUCUCAAGCUCAGCAAAUAACUAUAUUUUUUGUAUAAAUAAUUAUUUCAAUGUGGCAAUAACACAAUAACAACAGUAUAGUCUUAAGCAACCUUGAAAGUGAAACAAAACCUUGGAAUUAAUCCAUUAUUUAAAUACGUGACCAACAACAUCUGCAAUAAUUAUCAAUAAUUCAUGAGAGUAUAAACGUAAUAAAAUACAUCGUAAGGAACAAUAUACCUACUGAUCUGUAGAAACUUUUUAAAAUUCAACCCUCUUGCCUUUACAAGUUUUCACUGUCUCUCAGGUAGAUACAAUUUUCCAUAUCAAUAGGCAGUACUUUAUUGCAUUAGACCUAAUCUAAAUUAUCCACCUGUAAAUAAUACAAUUACUACAAAGAGAAAUAUACAAUAAAUUGCAAUAAUGAAUAUACUAGCAUUGUCAAACUAUAAAUCACAAGAUCCUCUUACUUCCCUUUCAUUAAGUAGGUAUAUAAGUUCUCUAAAUCUACCUACCCAACAGUAAAAGAAUUGAAUUCACAAGAUGAGAUCUACAGUAACGGCAAUUUUACUUGUGGCUGCGAUGCUAUGCUGUGUCAAUUCGGCAAUUAAACACUACAAUGGUUUUCCCAUAAAUCGACAAGUUAGAGCGGCUGAAGGACCAAAAAAUGCUGAUUUAGAAGGAUCCGAAACUGGGUACGUGGUGUACCCAUACCUGUACCCUUAUGCUGCAUAUCAUCAUCCCGUCGUUUAUCUUGGAAAGUGAAUUAUAUCCAGUCCUAGUCUGGUGGACAUCCUUUGGUAACAAAUAUUAUGUCCAGAUAUCAUUCCAUAUAUCCUUGUAAAUAAAAUGAAUUAUAAUAAAAAUGAACAACAUUCAACAAUA
Molecule: long non-coding RNA, 1058 nt
Organism: Photinus pyralis (common eastern firefly)
Lineage: Eukaryota; Metazoa; Arthropoda; Insecta; Coleoptera; Lampyridae
Exons: 3
Source: RefSeq, a predicted model, not a curated record